UAACGCGAAGAACCUUACCAGGUCUUGACAUCUUGCGCUAACCUUAGAGAUAAGGCGUUCCCUUCGGGGACGCAAUGACAGGUGGUGCAUGGUCGUCGUCAGCUCGUGUCGUGAGAUGUUGGGUUAAGUCCCGCAACGAGCGCAACCCUUGUUACUAGUUGCCAGCAUUAAGUUGGGCACUCUAGUGAGACUGCCGGUGACAAACCGGAGGAAGGUGGGGACGACGUCAGAUCAUCAUGCCCCUUAUGACCUGGGCUACACACGUGCUACAAUGGACGGUACAACGAGUCGCAAGCUCGCGAGAGUAAGCUAAUCUCUUAAAGCCGUUCUCAGUUCGGACUGUAGGCUGCAACUCGCCUACACGAAGUCGGAAUCGCUAGUAAUCGCGGAUCAGCAUGCCGCGGUGAAUACGUUCCCGGGUCUUGUACACACCGA
Molecule: unclassified non-coding RNA, 435 nt
Filed under: uncultured bacterium
Lineage: Bacteria
Description: contains 16S-23S intergenic spacer region
Rfam family: Bacterial small subunit ribosomal RNA
Source: RNAcentral